ACAAAGGCGGCCACGGGUGGCCGUAAGAGGGUACGUGGAGAAAAAGCAUCGGUUAACUCCGUGCCAGCAGCCGCGGUAAUACGGAGGAUGCGGGCGUUAUCCGGAUUUAUUGGGUUUAAAGGGUGGGCAGGCGGCGUGUCAAGUCAGCGGUAAAAUGUCGGGGCUCAACCCCGGCCGGCCGUUGAAACUGGCGUGCUCGAGUUGGAGAGAAGUAUGCGGAAUUCGUGGUGUAGCGGUGAAAUGCAUAGAUAUCACGAAGAACCCCGAUUGCGAAGGCAGCAUACCGGCUCCACACUGACGCUGAGGCACGAAAGCGUGGGUAUCGAACAGGAUUAGAUACCCUGGUAGUCCACUGCAGUAAACGAUGAAAACUAGGUGUCCGGGGCUAAGGUCAUGAGGUGCCACAGCGAAAGCGUUAAGCAUUCCUCCUGGGGGGGUACGCCGGGCAAGGGGGAAACUCAAAGGAAUUGACGGGGGCCCGCACAAGCGGAGGAACAUGUGGUUUUAUUCGAUGAUACGCGAGGAACCUUAACCGGGCUCAAACGCAGGGAGACUGCAAUCGAAAGGCUGCUUUCCACGGACUGCCUGCGAGGUGCUGCAUGGUUGUCGUCAGCUCGUGCCGUGAGGUGUCGGCUUAAGUGCCAUAACGAGCGCAACCCCUGCCGCCAGUUGCUAACGCGAAAGGCGAGGACUCUGGCGGGACUGCCGGCGCAAGCCGCGAGGAAGGCGGGGAUGACGUCAAAUCAGCACGGCCCUUACGUCCGGGGCGACACACGUGUUACAAUGGGCGGCACAGCGGGAAGCCAGGCGGCGACGCCGAGCGGAACCCGAAAGCCGUUCUCAGUUCGGAUCGGAGUCUGCAACCCGACUCCGUGAAGCUGGAUUCGCUAGUAAUCGCGCAUCAGCCAUGGCGCGGUGAAUACGUUCCCGGGCCUUGCACUCACCGCCCGUCAAG
RNAcentral lists this ribosomal RNA (955 nucleotides) under uncultured bacterium. RNAcentral describes it as "bacterial SSU rRNA". It matches the Rfam family "Bacterial small subunit ribosomal RNA", at positions 446 to 1401 of the family's 1533-position model. The record is from RNAcentral.